This 497-nucleotide ribosomal RNA is filed under the name uncultured bacterium. RNAcentral describes it as "partial 16S ribosomal RNA". It matches the Rfam family "Bacterial small subunit ribosomal RNA", at positions 28 to 507 of the family's 1533-position model. The record is from RNAcentral.
GAUGAACGCUGGCGGCGUGCCUAACACAUGCAAGUCGAACGAACGGACGAGAUGCUUGCUUUCCUGAUGUUAGAGGCGGACGGGAGAGUAACACGUGGACAACCUACCUAUAAGAAUGGGAUAACAACGGGAAACCGGAGCUAAUACCGGAAAAUAUAUCGAACUGCAAGGGUCAAAAGUGAGAGACGGUCUUGCUGACAGUUAUAGAUGAAUCCGCGCUUCAUUAGUAAGUUGGUAAGGAGAAGGCUUAACAAGGCAACGAUGCAUAGCCGACCUCAGAGGGACGUCGCCCAGCCUGGCACUGAGGCACGGUCCAGACUCUUGCGCUGGGCAGCAGCACAGACUCUUCCGCGAUGGACGAAGGCCGGACGUUGCAACGCCGCGUGAGUGAUGAAGGUCUUCUGAUCGUAGAACUCUGUUAUUAUGAGGGAACUAAUGUGUAUGUACCUGUGCACAUCUUGACAGUACCUGAUCAGUAAGCCCCGGCUAACUACGUG